RNAcentral lists this ribosomal RNA (468 nucleotides) under uncultured bacterium. Its description in RNAcentral is "partial 16S ribosomal RNA". It matches the Rfam family "Bacterial small subunit ribosomal RNA", at positions 28 to 507 of the family's 1533-position model. The record is from RNAcentral.
GACGAACGCUGGCGGCGUGCUAAACACAUGCAAGUCGAACGGAAAGGCCCUGCUUUUGUGGGGUGCUCGAGUGGCGAACGGGUGAGUAACACGUGAGUAACCUGCCCUUGACUUUGGGAUAACUUCAGGAAACUGGGGCUAAUACCGGAUAGGAGCUCCUGCUGCAUGGUGGGGGUUGGAAAGUUUCGGCGGUUGGGGAUGGACUCGCGGCUUAUCAGCUUGUUGGUGGGGUAGUGGCUUACCAAGGCUUUGACGGGUAGCCGGCCUGAGAGGGUGACCGGCCACAUUGGGACUGAGAUACGGCCCAGACUCCUACGGGAGGCAGCAGUGGGGAAUAUUGCAUAAUGGGCGGAAGCCUGAUGCAGCAACGCCGCGUGCGGGAUGACGGCCUUCGGGUUGUAAACCGCUUUCGCCUGUGACGAAGCGUGAGUGACGGUAAUGGGUAAAGAAGCACCGGCUAACUACGUG